UAGGAAUCUUUUUUUUUUUAGAGCAGAAGUUGCGGAAUAAUCUUCGCAAUCGCUGGUCCUCUCGCUGAGCGUGCUGGCAGCCUGCCCACGGAAGGAAGAUCUGUACUCACACCUGUUAAGCAGGAACAUGUUUUUACAAACACUGCUCUUCCACACAAAGAUCAAAGACUUCUCCAACAUCCCUCUGUGAAUCAGGAACCCAAACCACCUCUGCAAUAUUCUUCAGCUUUCAUUGCAAGAAGUUGCCACACUAAGGUGCUUUUCCUGGAACUCAAGUAAAUAGGAGCAGACAGAACAAUUGCCUUUUCUUCUUUACAUGAUUUUCUUUGCCUCAAAGGAUAGACCAAGAGGAAAUAAAAUCACUAGAUCUUUGCUCUAGAAAACCUGU
RNAcentral lists this long non-coding RNA (388 nucleotides) under Zonotrichia albicollis (white-throated sparrow). RNAcentral describes it as "lncRNA (ENSZALG00000014711.1)". Lineage: Eukaryota; Metazoa; Chordata; Aves; Passeriformes; Passerellidae. The record is from RNAcentral.